CCUACGGGAGGCAGCAGUGGGGGAUAUUGCACAAUGGGGGGAACCCUGAUGCAGCGACGCCGCGUGGGUGAAGGAGUACCUCGGUAUGUAAAGCCCUAUCAGCAGGGAAGAACAAUGAGGGAACCUGACAAAAAAGCACGGGCGAAAUACGUGCCAGCACCCGCGGUAAUAAGUAUGGUGCAAGCGUUAGCCGGAUUUACGGGGGGUAAGGGGGGCGAAGGCGGCAGUGCAAGGCAGAAGUGAAAGCCCAGGGCUCAACCAUGGUACUGCUUUUGAAACUGUACGGCUGGAUUGCAGGAGGGGUAGGUGGAAUUCCUGGUGUAGCGGUGAAAUGCGUAGAUAUUAGGAGGAACACCGGUGGCGAAGGCGGCUUACUGGACUGUAACUGACGCUGAGGCUCGAAAGCGUGGGGAGCAAACAGGAUUAGAUACCCGGGUAGUC
RNAcentral lists this ribosomal RNA (441 nucleotides) under uncultured bacterium. RNAcentral's name for it is "partial 16S ribosomal RNA". It matches the Rfam family "Bacterial small subunit ribosomal RNA", at positions 338 to 795 of the family's 1533-position model. The record is from RNAcentral.